Long non-coding RNA from Melanotaenia boesemani (Boeseman's rainbowfish), 186 nucleotides. RefSeq lists it as uncharacterized. The record is from RefSeq and is a predicted model, not a curated record. Lineage: Eukaryota; Metazoa; Chordata; Actinopteri; Atheriniformes; Melanotaeniidae. The transcript has 3 exons.
GCUUUGAUGCUCAACCUUAUCCUCUUUGUUAGGGUCCAGGACCGUCUUUGGUCCUGUAGUUCUGCUCAUAGCUCUCGUAUAGUAGUAGUAGUAGUAGUAGUAGUAGUAGUAGUAGUAGUUUGGGAAUCCAGGUGCAAUUAGUACGAGCACGAAAACAACAAAGACUUGGUGGCGGCGGAGGCGAAG